UACGGAGGGUGCAAGCGUUAUCCGGAUUCACUGGGUUUAAAGGGUGCGUAGGAGGGCAGGUAAGUCAGUGGUGAAAUCCCCGAGCUUAACUUGGGAACUGCCGUUGAUACUAUCUGUCUUGAAUAUCGUGGAGGUGAGCGGAAUAUGUCAUGUAGCGGUGAAAUGCUUAGAUAUGACAUAGAACACCAAUUGCGAAGGCAGCUCGCUACACGAAUAUUGACUCUGAGGCACGAAAGCGUGGGGAUCAAACAGG
This 253-nucleotide ribosomal RNA is filed under the name uncultured bacterium. Its description in RNAcentral is "partial 16S ribosomal RNA". It matches the Rfam family "Bacterial small subunit ribosomal RNA", at positions 524 to 776 of the family's 1533-position model. The record is from RNAcentral.